GCACAAGCGUGGAGUAUGUGGUUUAAUUCGAUGCAACGCGAAGAACCUUACCUGGUCUUGACAUCCCGGAGACCCUUAGGAAACUAGGGGGUGCUUCCAUCUGGAAGAAUCUGGAGACAGGUGCUGCAUGGCUGUCGUCAGCUCGUGUCGUGAGAUGUUGGGUUAAGUCCCGCAACGAGCGCAACCCUUGCCUUUAGUUGCCAGCAGUUCGGCUGGGCACUCUAAAGGGACUGCCGGUGUUAAACCGGAGGAAGGUGGGGAUGACGUCAAGUCCUCAUGGCCUUUAUGACCAGGGCUACACACGUACUACAAUGGCCGAUACAAAGGGCAGCGACACUGCGAGGUGAAGCCAAUCCCGUAAAAUCGGUCUCAGUCCGGAUUGGAGUCUGCAACUCGACUCCAUGAAGUUGGAAUCGCUAGUAAUCGUGGAUCAGCAUGCCACGGUGAAUACGUUCCCGGGCCUU
This 464-nucleotide ribosomal RNA is filed under the name uncultured Desulfobulbus sp. Its description in RNAcentral is "bacterial SSU rRNA". It matches the Rfam family "Bacterial small subunit ribosomal RNA", at positions 923 to 1382 of the family's 1533-position model. Lineage: Bacteria; Pseudomonadati; Thermodesulfobacteriota; Desulfobulbia; Desulfobulbales; Desulfobulbaceae. The record is from RNAcentral.